This 497-nucleotide ribosomal RNA is filed under the name uncultured bacterium. RNAcentral describes it as "partial 16S ribosomal RNA". It matches the Rfam family "Bacterial small subunit ribosomal RNA", at positions 28 to 517 of the family's 1533-position model. The record is from RNAcentral.
GAUGAACGCUGGCGGCGUGCCUAAUACAUGCAAGUCGAGCGAACGGACGAGAAGCUUGCUUCUCUGAAGUUAGCGGCGGACGGGCGAGUAACACGUGGAUAACCUACCUAUAAGACUGGGAUAACUUCGGGAAACCGGAGCUAAUACCGGAUAAUAUUUUGAAACGCAUGGUUCAAAAGUGAAAGACGGUUUAGCUGUCACUUAUAGAUGGAUCCUCGCCGCAUUAGCUAGUUGGUAAGGUAACGGCUUACCAAGGCAACGAUGCAUAGCCGACCUGAGAGGAUAGUCGGCCACCCGGGAACUGAUACCCGCUCCCGUUUCGCACGGGAAGCCGCAGUAGGCUAUGUUCCGCAAUGGGCGAAAUCCUGCCGGAGCACCGCCAUGUGCAUGAUGUAGUACUUCGGAUCCUUACUCUCUGUUAUUAGGAAAGAACAAAUAUUUAAUACACUAUGCCCGUCUUUAGGGUCACUAAUCCGUGUCCCACGCGUCACUACCUG